Molecule: ribosomal RNA, 519 nt
Filed under: Escherichia coli
Lineage: Bacteria; Pseudomonadati; Pseudomonadota; Gammaproteobacteria; Enterobacterales; Enterobacteriaceae
Description: bacterial LSU rRNA
Rfam family: Bacterial large subunit ribosomal RNA
Source: RNAcentral
GAAAGGCCAAUCAAACCGGGAGAUAGCUGGUUCUCCCCGAAAGCUAUUUAGGUAGCGCCUCGUGAAUUCAUCUCCGGGGGUAGAGCACUGUUUCGGCAAGGGGGUCAUCCCGACUUACCAACCCGAUGCAAACUGCGAAUACCGGAGAAUGUUAUCACGGGAGACACACGGCGGGUGCUAACGUCCGUCGUGAAGAGGGAAACAACCCAGACCGCCAGCUAAGGUCCCAAAGUCAUGGUUAAGUGGGAAACGAUGUGGGAAGGCCCAGACAGCCAGGAUGUUGGCUUAGAAGCAGCCAUCAUUUAAAGAAAGCGUAAUAGCUCACUGGUCGAGUCGGCCUGCGCGGAAGAUGUAACGGGGCUAAACCAUGCACCGAAGCUGCGGCAGCGACGCUGAUGCGUUGUUGGGUAGGGGAGCGUUCUGUAAGCCUGUGAAGGUGUACUGUGAGGUAUGCUGGAGGUAUCAGAAGUGCGAAUGCUGACAUAAGUAACGAUAAAGCGGGUGAAAAGCCCGCUCGCC